Molecule: ribosomal RNA, 253 nt
Filed under: uncultured bacterium
Lineage: Bacteria
Description: partial 16S ribosomal RNA
Rfam family: Bacterial small subunit ribosomal RNA
Source: RNAcentral
UACGAAGGGAGCGAGCGUUGUUCGGAAUCACUGGGCUUAAAGCGUGCGUAGGCGGAUGUGUAAGUAAGAAGUGAAAUCCCAGGGCUUAACCCUGGAACUGCUUUUUAGACUGCACGUCUGGAAUUCGGUAGAGGUUGGUGGAACUCCUAGUGUAGAGGUGAAAUUCGCAGAUAUUAGGAAGAACACCGGUGGCGAAGGCGACCAACUGGACCGAUAUUGACGCUGAGGCACGAAAGCGUGGGUAGCAAACAGG